RNAcentral lists this ribosomal RNA (500 nucleotides) under uncultured bacterium. RNAcentral describes it as "partial 16S ribosomal RNA". It matches the Rfam family "Bacterial small subunit ribosomal RNA", at positions 30 to 523 of the family's 1533-position model. The record is from RNAcentral.
AUUGAACGCUGGCGGAAUGCUUUACACAUGCAAGUCGAACGGCAGCACGGACUUCGGUCUGGUGGCGAGUGGCGAACGGGUGAGUAAUACAUCGGAACAUGCCCAGUCGUGGGGGAUAACGUAGCGAAAGCUACGCUAAUACCGCAUACGAUCUAAGGAUGAAAGCGGGGGAUCGCAAGACCUCGCGCGAUUGGAGCGGCCGAUGGCAGAUUAGGUAGUUGGUAGGGUAAAGGCCUACCAAGCCGACGGUCUGUAGCUGGUCUGAGAGGAUGGUCAGCCCCACUGGGACUGAGACACGGCCCAGGCUCCUACGGGAGGCAGCAGUGGGGAAUUUUGGACAAUGGGAGCAAGCCUGAUCCAGCCAUUCCGCGUGCAGGAUGAAGGCCUUCGGGUUGUAAACUGCUUUUGUACAGAACGAAAAGGCUCUGGUUAAUACCCGGGGCUCAUGACGGUACUGUAAGAAUAAGCACCGGCUAACAACGUGCCAGCAGCCGCCGUAA